UGUUAGGAUAUGGACCGUCACUUCGUUUUAAUGAAGUGGAUUCCCAUGUGAGACGUUGUAUUGGAUGAGCGUCUCUGGGUUCCCAAAUGUUUUGAACAAGUGUAUAAAAGGUUUUAACUGUUCAUUCAAAACACUUUUACCCUCUGCAAGUUAUUGCCAUUCUUUGUGAUUUGAAGCUUUGUGCGUUGAAAGUAUUUCCAGUUUCUGCAGAGUUUUUAUUCUCCAUUUCAUCUCUCAAAACAAGUUGGUUUUCUUGGUAUCACUUCUGUUUUAAUCUUUUUUAUGCCGAGAGUUUAAAACCGCUAAUCAUGUUUUAGGGUGGAUGAUGAUACUGGCUUGUUUUCACCAAGAUACAUCAUGGUUUGUAGUGACACAAGUGUUUAUUUUUCAGAAAACCACCAUGUUUUAAGUAGUUUACUGUUUUUCUUUUCGUUUUUAUUGUCAUGAAUGUUAGUGUGAUAUUGUGGUUUUAGACUUAAAGUCAAACCAAACAUUGUCUUAGGUUCUAUAUGGCUAUAAGAAAAACCGUUGAUCGCCCCUUUCCCGUGACAUCUAUGAUAUAUGCCCUUCCUGAAAUCACUGAUCGCCCCUUUUCCGCGAUAGAUCCUUAGGAGAGGAGGAAUGGGAAAUAAGGAUUCCCUUGGUGGACAGUAGGAUUUGUUCUCAAUAUUUUCUUGAACAUGAUCCCUAUGUACGAGAUUGUGUUCAAAGAUAUGAGCUUCAGAAUGCCCUUCUCGGAUUUUUAGAUGGCUCGAGCUUGCUCCCUCACAACUUCAUCCAAACUUUAUGGCCUUCAUCCGGUCCUUUGAGAUAAUGUGUGGUUAUCUCAAAUAGGUCACCACCAUGUCCUUUUUCUCUAUUUUUACUCUAAAACGAGGGGUACAUAAAGAAGAGGUAAGAGUUGGGUGUCUUUUAGGACAAAACAAAAAGUUAUUCAACAUCUAUCUUGAUUCUGUUUGAAGCUUCAAGGAUAAGUAUUUCCUUAUAAAUCCAAAGACUAGGGUGGCUUUGGACAAUCUUUUGCGAACCAGGAAUCAGGCAAGGCUCGAUGGAUCCUUCGUUCUUGAGGAGGUUCCUCAAUUUCCCUAGUAUAUUUAUUAAAGUAGUAAAUAAUAUGACUAGCAAGAAAGUAGGAAAAAAAACAACACAUGUUCUUGUUCAGUUACUAGAAAGUAGGAGAUAUAACUUCUUCCUUAUUUAUAUGACUAUUUUCUUUUUAUUUUUCCGGAAAUCUAUGAUGAAUGUAUGAACAAAACGCUGAAAAAUAAAGAGAUUAGGAAAGAGAAAAAAGACACAAAAAUUAUAGUUGUUUCCCUUAUAACCCAAGGGUAGUCCGAUUCCUCCACACCCCAUGAAGGAUUUCACUAUGUUAAAAAUUUUAUUACAAGCAAGUCUCGCCCAAAGGCCCCCUAAAUUUUUUGUUACAAGCAAGUCU
RNAcentral lists this long non-coding RNA (1435 nucleotides) under Medicago truncatula (barrel medic). RNAcentral describes it as "lncRNA gene22634". The record is from RNAcentral. Lineage: Eukaryota; Viridiplantae; Streptophyta; Magnoliopsida; Fabales; Fabaceae.